This is a long non-coding RNA of Chroicocephalus ridibundus (black-headed gull), 496 nucleotides long. RefSeq lists it as uncharacterized. The transcript has 5 exons. NCBI's taxonomy places the organism in Eukaryota, Metazoa, Chordata, Aves, Charadriiformes, Laridae. The record is from RefSeq and is a predicted model, not a curated record.
GGGGCGGGGCCGGGCCGGGCCGGGCCGGGCCCGGCCCGCGGGGCCGCUGCGAGCACGUGGUGAGGCAGCUGGAGCAUGUGAAGCGUCACCUUCUGCGGCACGGCAAGAAAACCCUGCAUGGCUGAUUCCGCUCACUGCUCAGGUAGUCGCAUGCCUGGGGCGAGACACGUUGGCACGUCAACAUCGGCAACCAAUUCCAAGCGGAGCUUCCCGACCUCCAGGACCCAGCCCGUUUGGAAGAGGAGGAAGAGGGAGCGUCGCUGGUCUGGAAACCCUGGGGCGACAUCGAAACCAACCCGGAGACGCAGGAGAAAGUUACAAACCUGCUCCAUUUGGCUUCUGCCAACACCAGGCCAGGGGGACAGGUCAACCUGGAGCUCGCUCUGCAUUGCCUGCACGAGGCUCAAGGCGACGUGCUGGAGGUGGCAGAGAUGCUGCAUGGUGGGCCGCCUCGGAGACCCGAAUCCCAUCCCCUGGCUGAUUAUCAUUACACAGG